RNAcentral lists this transfer RNA (39 nucleotides) under Isodon japonicus. RNAcentral's name for it is "partial trnP(UGG)". Lineage: Eukaryota; Viridiplantae; Streptophyta; Magnoliopsida; Lamiales; Lamiaceae. The record is from RNAcentral.
GGGUACAAAAUGUCACGGGUUCNAAUCCUGUCAUCCCUA